This 3989-nucleotide long non-coding RNA is filed under the name Homo sapiens (human). RNAcentral describes it as "HSALNT0132494". Lineage: Eukaryota; Metazoa; Chordata; Mammalia; Primates; Hominidae. The record is from RNAcentral.
AAAGGCAGCACCAGCCUGCACUAGCCUGGGUAUGAAGAACAAUAUUACAGGAGGGGUGUACACCCUCUGCGAUAUUGGGAGUCAUAUCAUCCUCUUUCGCUCUGGAUAUUAGGAAGAAUAUCACAGGGCUGUGUACACCCCCUGUGAUAUUGGGAGUCAUAUCAUCCUGUGGCCCUGAGGAGAGAAACAAUUUCUCUACUGUCUCCUGUCUCUGAAGAGGAGGAGGAAGUAAAAGUGGGAAAACAACAGGAAUGAAGUCAGUGGCAAGACCAGCCGGUGGCACUGAUGAGCCGGUCUGCGGUGAAAAGAUUAACCCCCCCUUAGAUUAACCCUAAGCACAUGUGCUCUGAAUCCAUCACGGCCCUUUCACGUGGAACCCCUUGGAGUUGUAAGCCCUUAAACGGGCCAGGAACUCUGUCUUCCUUGGAGGAGCUGGGUUCUUAAGACAAGAGUCUGUCGAUACUCUCGGCCGAGUAAAAAAACCUCUUGCUUCUUGAAUCUGCUGUCUGAGGGACUUCGUCCACGGCUCAUCCUACUUCAUUUCUUAGUGCCCUGAUUGGGAAUCAAACGGGGGCAGCAGCGGUAAAAGCACCGAAUCCCAACCACUAGACCACCAGGGGAACUUUGAACCUUGGGGAAAAUAGAUUGCCCACCAUUAGAAGUGGGUCGGCCAUCAGAAGGAAGCCUGGACAGGUCCCUUGCUUCUAAGGUGUGGCACAAGGUAACUGGUAAAGGACACCUAGACCAGUUCGUAUAGACACUUGGUGACAGCUGGUGCUAGACUCCCCACAGUGGCUAAGAGGGCAGGCAGCGGAAAUACUAGUAGCAAAGGGACAGAUAGCUAAGGAAGGAUCCCGCUCCACCCGCCCAGGGAAAUCAACUCCUGAAGCUCUAUUCCACCCAGCGUCAGAAGAUGCAUUGCAGGAGAUGGCACCAGAGAUCCCAGUGGUGCCCUCCCCUUAGCAGGGAAAGAGGCUCCCCACUCUUGAGCCCACAGUGCUUGCGCCUCCGCAAGACAAGCGUAUCCCUAGGCCACCUAGAGUAGACAAGGACUUGGGAGAAACCCCUCCCUUGGCAGCUCAUUUACAACCCAAAACCGGGAUCCAAAUGCCCCUGAGAGAGCAGCGGUAGACUGCUAUAGUUGAGGAUGGUCACGUGGUGGAGAGACGUGUUUUUGGGUACCAGCCCUUCACCUCUGCUGACCUUCUCAACUGGAAAAAUAAUACCCCGUCCUAUACCGAAAAGCCACAAGCUCUGAUUGAUUUGCUCCAAACUGUUAUCCAGACCCACAACCCCACCUGGGCUGAUUACCACCCGUUGCUCAUGUUCCUCUUUAACACAGAUGAAAGGCGGAGAGUCCUCCAAGCAGCAACUAAGUGGCUAGAGGAAUAUGCACCAGCUGAUUAUCAAAAACCCAGAGAGCACAUAAGGACCCAGUUACCAGGAACCGACCCCCAGUGGAACCCACAUGAAAGAGGGGAUAUGCAAAGUCUAAACUGAGACAGGGAAGCUCUCUUGGAAGGAUUACAGAGGGGAGCUCAGAAGGCCACAAACGUUCACAAGGUCUCUGAGGUCAUUCAGGGAAAACAAGAAAGUCCAGCACAAUUCUGUGCGAGACUGUGUCAGGCCUAUCGUGUGUAUACUCCCUUUGAUCCCCAGAUCCCUGAAAAUCAGUGCAUGAUUAACAUGGCUUUAGUCCGUCAAAGCGCAGAAGACAUGAGAAGAAAACUGCAGAAACAGGCUGGGCUUGCAGGGAUGAAUACAUCACAAUGAUUAGAAUAGCUAACCAGAUGUUUGUAAACAGGGAUGCAGUAAGCCGUAAGGAAAACCGCAAAGAGAAUGAACGUCCGGCCUGGAGAAACACUGACCUGUUUGUUAGCUGCAGCAAUCAGAGGGGCCCCCCGAGAGAGGCAAGGGAAGGGGGGCCCUGGGACAGAAACUCUGCUUGGCUGUCAGAGUUUGCAGUGUAACCAGUGUGCUUAUUGUAAAGAAAUAGGACAUUGGAAGAACAAAUGUCCUCAGCUCAACAGAAAACAAGGUGACUCAGAGCAGGAGGCCUGGGACAAGGAGGAAGGGGCCCUGCUCAACCUGGCAGAAGGGUUAUUGGACUGAGGGAGACCAGGCUCGAGUGUCCCCAAAGAGCCUCUGGUCAGAAGGACAGUCUGGGAUAGAGACAUUGAUUUUCUUGUAGAUACCGGUGCUGAACAAUCGCUAGUAACCGCCCCGGUCACCCCCUUAUCCAAAAAGACUAUUGACAUCAUCAGAGCCACGGGGGUUUCAGCAAAGCAAGCUUUCUGCUUGCCCCGGGCUUGUGCUGUAGGAGGACAUAAAGUGAUUCAUCAGUUUCUGUACAUGCCUGACUGUCCCUUGCUCUUGUUGGGAAGGGACUUCCUUAGCAAGCUGAGAGCCACUAUCUCUUUUAUAGAGCAUGGCUCUUUGCUGCUAAAGUUGCUCAGAAUGGGAGUCAUUAUGACUCUUAUGGUCCCCCAAGAGGAGGAACGGAGACUUUUCUGAACUAAGCCGGGCCAAGAGAUAAGACCAGCUCUGGCUAAGCGGUGGCCAAGAGUAUGGGCGGAAGACAACCCUUCAGGAUUGGCAGUCAACCAACCCCCUGUACUCAUAGAAAUGAAGCCUGGGGCCCAGCCUGUGACGGAAAAACAGGACCUGGUCCCGCAGAGAAACUCUUCAAGGGAUCCAGGUCCAUCUCAAGCACCUAAGAACUUUUGGAAUCAGAGUUCCUUGUCAGUCUCCACGGAACACUCCCCUUCUGCAUGUUCCCAAGCCACAGACCAAGGACUACAGGCCGGUACAGGAUUUGCGCUUGCUUCAUCAAGCUACACUGACUUUACAUCCAGCAGUACUUAACCCGUACACAUUGCUGGGGUUGCUGCCAGCUGAGAACAGCUGCUUCACCUGCUUGGACCUGAAAGACGCUUUCUUUAGCAUCAGAUUAGCCCCUGAGAGCCAGAAGCUGUUUGCCUUUCAGUGGGAAGAUCCGGAGUCAGGAGUCAUUACUCAGUACACUUGGACCAGGCUUCCCCAAGGGUUCAAGAACUCCCCCACCAUCUUCGGGGAGGCGUUGGCUUAAGACAUCCAGAAGUUUCCCACCAGAGACCUAGGCUACAUUUUGCUCCAGUACGUUGAUGACUUUUUGCUGGGACACCCCAUGGCAGUCGGAUGCUCCAAGGGAACGGAUGCCCUACUCCGGCGCCUGGAGGACUGUGGCUAUAAGGUGUCCAAGAGAAAAGCUCAGAUCUGCUGACAGCAGAAACUCCUGGAGGGCAGAUGCAUGCCUGCCAUCUUCAUCGUUUCAUUACCACCAUCCAACACUAUCGGGGGACCUGCCCUGAUAAUCAGCAUGUAACGAGGCUCAACACAACUCUGUAUGGGAACAGUCAGGUUGGAGGUAAGUGAAGCAGAAUGUCUGGGUCUACGAUGAUACUGAGAGAAUGGGACGGUAGUGGGAACAACAGUCAAAAUAGUUUUUCCUUCCCAUACUCGCAGUCCAGCCAUGGCAAUAGCCAAUUUCCAAAGUUCUGGGUGUUCUGGGCUCAGAAUAGGGAGUGUCAUAGGAGGCCUGGAGGGGGCGGGUAAUGCCUUUAUCUUCCCAUUUUAAGGGAAAGAAUGAGCUGAUCCUUCUAUGCAAAGUAGAAUGAUGAUUCUCUUUCUCCGGAUAAGAAAUAAAAUAAGUAGCCUCCAGGCAUUCCCUUCCACAGAGGAGCAAUUGUUUUUUAAAUAGCCCUAUGGUGCCCAGUCUAUUACUAAACCAUAUGAGUCAUUUUUUAAUAUUACUGCAUGUGAGUUAACACAAUCUUCCCAAAUUAAAGUUUUAGAUGGUCCCUCAAAAUGUUUAGGGCAUGGUUUUCCUGCAGGUUUAUAUUGAAAGUAUGGGGUACCUCCCAUUACUCCUCCUUUCAUUUGUUGUAAAGGAGAAAGGGAGAGGCCAGAGGCCAAAUGUCCCAUUUUAUCUGUAGCUGAUGUUUCUGAAA